Molecule: long non-coding RNA, 1071 nt
Filed under: Homo sapiens (human)
Lineage: Eukaryota; Metazoa; Chordata; Mammalia; Primates; Hominidae
Description: HSALNT0167154
Source: RNAcentral
CAGCAUCAUGGCACAUGCCUCUAGUCCCAGCUACUCGGGAGGCUGAGGCAGGAGAAUCACUUGAACCCAAGAGACGGAGGUUGCAGUGAGCUGAGAUCGUGCCACUGCACUUCAGCCUGGGUGACAGAGCAAGACUGUCUCAAAAAGAAAAAAAAAUUUUUUUUUAAAGAGGAAAAAAAGGAAGUUGCAAAUGAUACUAUGAUUACAUUUUUGUUAAAAUAAUUGUUAGUAUAUUAUAUGUAAUAUAUUAGUAAAUUGUGAAGAAAUUUACAGGAGGGCACUGGAUUGUAGGAGUCUUUCAGGUUUUACUUUAUAUAAGUUUUACAAUAAUCACUAAAUUUUUUUUUUUUUUAAACAGAGAUGGCAUUGCCCAGGCUGCUCUUGAACUCCUGGGCUCAAGUGAUCCUCCUGACUCAGCCUCCCAAAGUGCUGGGAUUACAGGCAUGAGCCACCAUGCCCAGUCACUGACUUUUUUAAUCAUAAAAAGUAAUUUAUAGCCGGCAUGGUGGAUCAGGCCUGUAAUCCCAGCACUUUGGGAGGCCGAGGUGGGCGGAUCACAAGGUCAGGAGUUCGAGAGCAACAUGAUCAACAUGGUGAAACCCCAUCUCUACUAAAAAUACAAAAAUUAGCUGGGUGUGGAUGUGGUGGCAGGCGCCUGUGAUCCCAGCUACUUGGGAGGCUGAGGCAGGAGAAUCGCUUGAACCUGGGAGGCAGAGGUUGCAGUGAGCCAAGAUUGUGCUAGUGCACUCUAGCCUGGGUGACAGAGCAAGACUCCGUCUCGAAAAAAAAAAUGUAUAAAAUAUAAAAACCAUGUAAGAACAUUACAGAUGACUAUAUUAGCUUCUAAUCAGAAGAGCAAACACUUUUUGUUUUUGAGACAGAAUUUUGCUCCUGUUGCCCAGGCUGGUGUGCAAUGGCGUGAUCUCAGCUCACUGCAACCUUCGCCUCCUGGGUUCAAGCAAUUCUCCUGCCUCAGGCUCCCCAGUAGCUGGGAUUACAGGUGCCCACCAUCACGCCCGGCUAAUUUUUGUAUUUUUAGUAGAGACAGGGUUUCACCAUGUUGGUCAGGCU